This 465-nucleotide ribosomal RNA is filed under the name Actinomyces sp. oral taxon 169. RNAcentral describes it as "bacterial SSU rRNA". It matches the Rfam family "Bacterial small subunit ribosomal RNA", at positions 28 to 475 of the family's 1533-position model. The record is from RNAcentral. Lineage: Bacteria; Bacillati; Actinomycetota; Actinomycetes; Actinomycetales; Actinomycetaceae.
GACGAACGCUGGCGGCGUGCUUAACACAUGCAAGUCGAACGGUGAAGGGAUCAGCUUGCUGGUUCUGGAUGAGUGGCGAACGGGUGAGUAACACGUGAGUAACCUGCCCCCUUCUUCUGGAUAACCGCAUGAAAGUGUGGCUAAUACGGGAUAUUCUGGGUCUGUCGCAUGACGGGCCCGGGAAAGAUGCGCCUUUGGGUGUUUUUGGUGGGGGAUGGGCUCGCGGCCUAUCAGCUUGUUGGUGGGGUGAUGGCCUACCAAGGCGGUGACGGGUAGCCGGCCUGAGAGGGUGGACGGUCACACUGGGACUGAGACACGGCCCAGACUCCUACGGGAGGCAGCAGUGGGGAAUAUUGCACAAUGGGCGCAAGCCUGAUGCAGCGACGCCGCGUGAGGGAUGGAGGCCUUCGGGUUGUAAACCUCUUUCGCCAGUGAAAGCAGGCCUGCUUCUUUGUGGGUGGGGGG